This 125-nucleotide small RNA is filed under the name Marmota monax (woodchuck). The record is from RNAcentral. Lineage: Eukaryota; Metazoa; Chordata; Mammalia; Rodentia; Sciuridae.
GCUGGGCAUGGUGGCACAUGCCUCUAAUCCCAGCAGCUUGGGAGGCUGAGACAGGAGGAUUGCAAGUUCAAAGCCAGCCUCAGCAAAAGCAAGGAGCUAAACAACUCAGUGAGACCCUGUCUCUG